RNAcentral lists this ribosomal RNA (441 nucleotides) under uncultured Bacteroidota bacterium. RNAcentral describes it as "bacterial SSU rRNA". It matches the Rfam family "Bacterial small subunit ribosomal RNA", at positions 917 to 1359 of the family's 1533-position model. Lineage: Bacteria; Pseudomonadati; Bacteroidota. The record is from RNAcentral.
GGGCCCGCACAAGCGGAGGAGCAUGUGGUUUAAUUCGAUGAUACGCGAGGAACCUUACCUGGACUUGAACGCAGAAGGAAUACUGGUAAAAGCUAGUAGUCGCAAGACCUUCUGCGAGGUGCUGCAUGGUUGUCGUCAGCUCGUGCCGUGAGGUGUUAGGUUAAGUCCUGCAACGAGCGCAACCCUUACUGUCAGUUACCAGCAUGUAAUGAUGGGGACUCUGGCGGAACUGCCCGCGCAAGCGUGGAGGAAGGUGGGGAUGACGUCAAAUCAGCACGGCCCUUACGUCCAGGGCGACACACGUGCUACAAUGGGGGGUACAGAGGGCAGCUACACUGUGAAGUGAUGCGAAUCUCAAAAGCCUUUUCUCAGUUCGGAUCGGAGUCUGCAACUCGACUCCGUGAAGUUGGAUUCGCUAGUAAUCGCGCAUCAGCCAUGGCG